Long non-coding RNA from Telopea speciosissima, 181 nucleotides. RefSeq lists it as uncharacterized. Lineage: Eukaryota; Viridiplantae; Streptophyta; Magnoliopsida; Proteales; Proteaceae. The record is from RefSeq and is a predicted model, not a curated record. The transcript has 3 exons.
UGGUUGUGUUUUAUGGUUAGAAAAAGAUAAAGUGAUGAGGACAUCAGUCCACCUGACCGUGGCUUUAGAGUCUACCAGAGGAGGAGACGCAAGUAUCAACCCUCCAUGGCAUCUCUUUGGGCUGAUGAUGAGUUUAGGGGCUAUCAUAUUGAUAGGACCCCGCUGGUGGGCCCCAUGGUGA